This 66-nucleotide microRNA precursor is filed under the name Drosophila mojavensis. RNAcentral's name for it is "Dmo-Novel-7-P1_pre stem-loop". The record is from RNAcentral. Lineage: Eukaryota; Metazoa; Arthropoda; Insecta; Diptera; Drosophilidae.
UUCGCGGCGCGGCCCUUUUGCGCGUGUCUUUUAAUACUUAUCGUCAAAUGCGCCGAACUGCGAAAU